GGUUAAGUGACUAAGCGUACACGGUGGAUGCCUAGGCAGUCAGAGGCGAUGAAGGGCGUGCUAAUCUGCGAAAAGCGUCGGUAAGGUGAUAUGAACCGUUACAACCGGCGAUACCCGAAUGGGGAAACCCAGUGUGUUUCGACACACUAUCAUGUCAUGAAUACAUAGUGGCAUGAGGCGAACCGGGGGAACUGAAACAUCUAAGUACCCCGAGGAAAAGAAAUCAACCGAGAUUCCCCCAGUAGCGGCGAGCGAACGGGGAGGAGCCCAGAACCUGAAUCGGCUUGUGUGUUAGUGGAAGCGUCUGGAAAGUCGCGCAGCAAAGGGUGAUAGCCCCGUACACUAAAAUGCACAGGUCGUGAGUUCGAUGAGUAGGGCGGGACACGUGACAUCCUGUCUGAAUAUGGGGGGACCAUCCUCCAAGGCUAAAUACUCCUGACUGACCGAUAGUGAACCAGUACCGUGAGGGAAAGGCGAAAAGAACCCCGGCGAGGGGAGUGAAAUAGAACCUGAAACCGUGUACGUACAAGCAGUGGGAGCACCUUCGUGGUGUGACUGCGUACCUUUUGUAUAAUGGGUCAGCGACUUAUAUUUUGUAGCAAGGUUAACCGUAUAGGGGAGCCGUAGGGAAACCGAGUCUUAACUGGGCGAAUAGUUGCAAGGUAUAGACCCGAAACCCGGUGAUCUAGCCAUGGGCAGGUUGAAGGUUGGGUAACACUAACUGGAGGACCGAACCGACUAAUGUUGAAAAAUUAGCGGAUGACUUGUGGCUGGGGGUGAAAGGCCAAUCAAACCGGGAGAUAGCUGGUUCUCCCCGAAAGCUAUUUAGGUAGCGCCUCGUGAACUCAUCUUCGGGGGUAGAGCACUGUUUCGGCUAGGGGGCCAUCCCGGCUUACCAAACCGAUGCAAACUCCGAAUACCGAAGAAUGUUAUCACGGGAGACACACGGCGGGUGCUAACGUCCGUCGUGAAGAGGGAAACAACCCAGACCGCCAGCUAAGGUCCCAAAGUCAUGGUUAAGUGGGAAACGAUGUGGGAAGGCAUAGACAGCCAGGAUGUUGGCUUAGAAGCAGCCAUCAUUUAAAGAAAGCGUAAUAGCUCACUGGUCGAGUCGGCCUGCGCGGAAGAUGUAACGGGGCUAAACCAUGCACCGAAGCUGCGGCAGCGACGCUUAGGCGUUGUUGGGUAGGGGAGCGUUCUGUAAGCCGUUGAAGGUGGCCUGUGAGGGUUGCUGGAGGUAUCAGAAGUGCGAAUGCUGACAUAAGUAACGAUAAAGCGGGUGAAAAGCCCGCUCGCCGGAAGACCAAGGGUUCCUGUCCAACGUUAAUCGGGGCAGGGUGAGUCGACCCCUAAGGCGAGGCUGAAAAGCGUAGUCGAUGGGAAACAGGUUAAUAUUCCUGUACUUGGUGUUACUGCGAAGGGGGGACGGAGAAGGCUAGGCUAGCCGGGCGACGGUUGUCCCGGUUUAAGCGUGUAGGGGGUGUGACCUGGUAAAUCCGGUUACAUACUAACCCUGAGGCGUGAUGACGAUGCACUACGGUGCAGAAGUAGUUGAUGCCCUGCUUCCAGGAAAAGCCUCUAAGCUCUAGGUAACAUUAAAUCGUACCCCAAACCGACACAGGUGGUCAGGUAGAGAAUACCAAGGCGCUUGAGAGAACUCGGGUGAAGGAACUAGGCAAAAUGGUGCCGUAACUUCGGGAGAAGGCACGCUGGCAUGUAGGUGAAGUCCUUCGCGGAUGGAGCUGAAGCCAGUCGAAGAUACCAGCUGGCUGCAACUGUUUAAUAAAAACACAGCACUGUGCAAACACGAAAGUGGACGUAUACGGUGUGACGCCUGCCCGGUGCUGGAAGGUUAAUUGAUGGGGUCAGCCGCAAGGCGAAGCUCUUGAUCGAAGCCCCAGUAAACGGCGGCCGUAACUAUAACGGUCCUAAGGUAGCGAAAUUCCUUGUCGGGUAAGUUCCGACCUGCACGAAUGGCGUAAUGAUGGCCAGGCUGUCUCCACCCGAGACUCAGUGAAAUUGAACUCGCUGUGAAGAUGCAGUGUACCCGCGGCAAGACGGAAAGACCCCGUGAACCUUUACUAUAGCUUGACACUGAACAUUGAGCCUUGAUGUGUAGGAUAGGUGGGAGGCUUUGAAGCGUGGACGCCAGUCUGCGUGGAGCCAACCUUGAAAUACCACCCUUUAAUGUUUGAUGUUCUAACUCGGCCCCAUAAUCUGGGGUGAGGACAGUGUCUGGUGGGUAGUUUGACUGGGGCGGUCUCCUCCCAAAGAGUAACGGAGGAGCACGAAGGUUAGCUAAUCACGGUCGGACAUCGUGAGGUUAGUGCAAAGGCAUAAGCUAGCUUGACUGCGAGAGUGACGGCUCGAGCAGGUACGAAAGUAGGUCUUAGUGAUCCGGUGGUUCUGAAUGGAAGGGCCAUCGCUCAACGGAUAAAAGGUACUCCGGGGAUAACAGGCUGAUACCGCCCAAGAGUUCAUAUCGACGGCGGUGUUUGGCACCUCGAUGUCGGCUCAUCACAUCCUGGGGCUGAAGUAGGUCCCAAGGGUAUGGCUGUUCGCCAUUUAAAGUGGUACGCGAGCUGGGUUUAGAACGUCGUGAGACAGUUCGGUCCCUAUCUGCCGUGGGCGUUGGAAGAUUGAGAGGGGUUGCUCCUAGUACGAGAGGACCGGAGUGAACGCACCACUGGUGUUCGGGUUGUCAUGCCAAUGGCAUUGCCCGGUAGCUAAGUGCGGAAAAGAUAAGCGCUGAAAGCAUCUAAGCGCGAAACUUGCCUCAAGAUGAGUCUUCCCUGGGCCUUUAAGGCCCCUGAAGGAACGUUUAAGACUAAGACGUUGAUAGGCUGGGUGUGUAAGUGCAGCGAUGCAUUGAGCUAACCAGUACUAAUGAUCCGUGAGGCUUAACCUU
RNAcentral lists this ribosomal RNA (2908 nucleotides) under Serratia marcescens. Its description in RNAcentral is "23S ribosomal RNA". It matches the Rfam family "Bacterial large subunit ribosomal RNA". Lineage: Bacteria; Pseudomonadati; Pseudomonadota; Gammaproteobacteria; Enterobacterales; Yersiniaceae. The record is from RNAcentral.